GAUGAAGAACGCAGCGAAAUGCGACAAGUAAUGUGAAUUGCAGAAUUCAGUGAAUCAUCGAAUCUUUGAACGCACAUUGCGCCCGCCAGUAUUCUGGCGGGCAUGCCUGUUCGAGCGUCAUUUCAACCAUCAAGCCCCGGGCUUGUGUUGGGGACCUGCGGCUGCCGCAGGCCCUGAAAUGCAGUGGCGGGCUCGCUGUCACUCCGAGCGUAGUAGUUACAUCUCGCUCUGGGCGUGCUGCGGGUUCCGGCCGUUAAAAGCCUUAUUUACCCAAGGUUGACCUCGGAUCAGGUAGGAAGACCCGCUGAACUUAAGCAUAUCAAUAGCGGAGGA
RNAcentral lists this unclassified non-coding RNA (333 nucleotides) under soil metagenome. RNAcentral's name for it is "partial contains 5.8S ribosomal RNA, internal transcribed spacer 2, and large subunit ribosomal RNA". The stretch from base 1 to 120 matches the Rfam family "5.8S ribosomal RNA", at positions 35 to 154 of the family's 154-position model. The record is from RNAcentral.